CCUACGGGAGGCAGCAGUAGGGAAUAUUGCUCAAUGGGGGAAACCCUGAAGCAGCAACGCCGCGUGGAGGAUGAAGGUUUUCGGAUUGUAAACUCCUUUUGUUAGAGAGGAUAAUGACGGUAUCUAACGAAUAAGCACCGGCUAACUCCGUGCCAGCAGCCGUGGUAAUACGGAGGGUGCCAGCGUUACUCGGAGUCAGUGGGCGUAAUGAGCGCGUAGGCGGGAUAGCAAGUCAGAUGUGAAAUCCUAUGGCUUAACCAUAGAACUGCAUUUGAAACUGUUAUUCUAGAGGAUGGGAGAGGUAGGUGGAAUUCUUGGUGUAGGGGUAAAAUCCGUAGAAAUCAAGAGGAAUACUCAUUGCGAAGGCGACCUGCUAGAACAUAACUGACGCUGAUGCGCGAAAGCGUGGGGAGCAAACAGGAUUAGAUACCCCUGUAGUC
RNAcentral lists this ribosomal RNA (440 nucleotides) under uncultured bacterium. RNAcentral describes it as "partial 16S ribosomal RNA". It matches the Rfam family "Bacterial small subunit ribosomal RNA", at positions 338 to 795 of the family's 1533-position model. The record is from RNAcentral.